RNAcentral lists this ribosomal RNA (431 nucleotides) under bacterium enrichment culture clone ALO1_GLFRUDD03FWOCX. RNAcentral's name for it is "bacterial SSU rRNA". It matches the Rfam family "Bacterial small subunit ribosomal RNA", at positions 9 to 441 of the family's 1533-position model. The record is from RNAcentral. RNAcentral also lists the same sequence under 1 other name.
GAGUUUGAUCGUGGCUCAGAUUGAACGCUGGCGGCAUGCCUUACACAUGCAAGUCGAACGGCAGCACGGGAGCUUGCUCCUGGUGGCGAGUGGCGAACGGGUGAGUAAUGCAUCGGAACGUAUCCUGGAGUGGGGGAUAACGUAGCGAAAGUUACGCUAAUACCGCAUAUUCUGUGAGCAGGAAAGCGGGGGACCUUCGGGCCUCGCGCUCUUGGAGCGGCCGAUGUCGGAUUAGCUAGUUGGUGAGGUAAAGGCUCACCAAGGCGACGAUCCGUAGCAGGUCUGAGAGGAUGAUCUGCCACACUGGAACUGAGACACGGUCCAGACUCCUACGGGAGGCAGCAGUGGGGAAUUUUGGACAAUGGGGGCAACCCUGAUCCAGCCAUGCCGCGUGAGUGAAGAAGGCCUCGGUUGUAAGUACGUCUUCGUCG